AGACCCGAAACCCGGUGAUCUAGCCAUGGGCAGGUUGAAGGUUGGGUAACACUAACUGGAGGACCGAACCGACUAAUGUUGAAAAAUUAGCGGAUGACCUGUGGCUGGGGGUGAAAGGCCAAUCAAACCGGGAGAUAGCUGGUUCUCCCCGAAAGCUAUUUAGGUAGCGCCUCGUGAAUUCAUCUCCGGGGGUAGAGCACUGUUUCGGCUAGGGGGCCAUCCCGGCUUACCAACCCGAUGCAAACUGCGAAUACCGGAGAAUGUUAUCACGGGAGACACACGGCGGGUGCUAACGUCCGUCGUGAAGAGGGAAACAACCCAGACCGCCAGCUAAGGUCCCAAAGUCAUGGUUAAGUGGGAAACGAUGUGGGAAGGCCCAGACAGCCAGGAUGUUGGCUUAGAAGCAGCCAUCAUUUAAAGAAAGCGUAAUAGCUCACUGGUCGAGUCGGCCUGCGCGGAAGAUGUAACGGGGCUAAACCAUGCACCGAAGCUGCGGCAGCGAACGUAUCACUUAAAGCGAUUCAGCGGGUUACGAUUGACGGAGCGAAGCGACGUCAAAGCGUAUACAAAGUCGAGUCGGUUUAAGGAUACGUUCGUUGGGUAGGGGAGCGUUCUGUAAGCCUGUGAAGGUGGCCUGUGAGGGUUGCUGGAGGUAUCAGAAGUGCGAAUGCUGACAUAAGUAACGAUAAAGCGGGUGAAAAGCCCGCUCGCCGGAAGACCAAGGGUUCCUGUCCAACGUUAAUCGGGGCAGGGUGAGUCGACCCCUAAGGCGAGGCCGAAAGGCGUAGUCGAUGGGAAACGGGUUAAUAUUCCCGUACUUGGUGUUACUGCGAAGGGGGGACGGAGAAGGCUAUGUUGGCCGGGCGACGGUUGUCCCGGUUUAAGCGUGUAGGCUGGUUUUCCAGGCAAAUCCGGAAAAUCAAGGCUGAGGCGUGAUGACGAGGCACUACGGUGCUGAAGCAACAAAUGCCCUGCUUCCAGGAAAAGCCUCUAAGCAUCAGGUAACAUCAAAUCGUACCCCAAACCGACACAGGUGGUCAGGUAGAGAAUACCAAGGCGCUUGAGAGAACUCGGGUGAAGGAACUAGGCAAAAUGGUGCCGUAACUUCGGGAGAAGGCACGCUGACACGUAGGUGAAGUGAUUUACUCAUGGAGCUGAAGUCAGUCGAAGAUACCAGCUGGCUGCAACUGUUUAUUAAAAACACAGCACUGUGCAAACACGAAAGUGGACGUAUACGGUGUGACGCCUGCCCGGUGCCGGAAGGUUAAUUGAUGGGGUCAGCGCAAGCGAAGCUCCUGAUCGAAGCCCCGGUAAACGGCGGCCGUAACUAUAACGGUCCUAAGGUAGCGAAAUUCCUUGUCGGGUAAGUUCCGACCUGCACGAAUGGCGUAAUGAUGGCCAGGCUGUCUCCACCCGAGACUCAGUGAAAUUGAACUCGCUGUGAAGAUGCAGUGUACCCGCGGCAAGACGGAAAGACCCCGUGAACCUUUACUAUAGCUUGACACUGAACAUUGAGCCUUGAUGUGUAG
This 1529-nucleotide ribosomal RNA is filed under the name Salmonella enterica subsp. enterica serovar Anatum. Its description in RNAcentral is "partial 23S ribosomal RNA". It matches the Rfam family "Bacterial large subunit ribosomal RNA", at positions 711 to 2141 of the family's 2925-position model. RNAcentral also lists the same sequence under 1 other name. Lineage: Bacteria; Pseudomonadati; Pseudomonadota; Gammaproteobacteria; Enterobacterales; Enterobacteriaceae. The record is from RNAcentral.